Molecule: long non-coding RNA, 8957 nt
Organism: Acinonyx jubatus (cheetah)
Lineage: Eukaryota; Metazoa; Chordata; Mammalia; Carnivora; Felidae
Exons: 3
Source: RefSeq, a predicted model, not a curated record
AGCACUGAGUGUUGUAUGGAAACCAAUUUGACAAUUAAUUUCAUAUUAAAACAAUAAAAAAUAAGAAAUAAUAAAAAAUAAAUGGGACAGACUGAUUCUAAUGUCUAGUGGAAAGAUUGAUAAAUUUGACAGUACAAUAAGAAGAAAUGUCUUCAUGGAAAAACACAUCACAAAUGAAGAGAAAAGAGAAAUGACAAAUUGGGAACAGAGUUUCAAACUCCUAUAACUGAUUUUGCUAAUAUACAGUGACCUCCUACAAAUAAGUAAGCCAGUUGACAACUCAAUGGAAAAAUGGACAAAGAUGAUGAGUGGGCAAUUAGAAGAAAAUACGCAUCGAUUUUAAGCAUAUGAAACAAUUCUCAACCUCACUCAGAAAUUAAAAAAAAAAACAAACAACCUCAGUGUAAAACCAUUUGUCAUCUAUCACAUGGGCAGAGAUCAAAAAGGCUGAUAACAUGCACCACGGGCCAGAUUCUAGGAAAUGGGCUUGCUCUUGCAUUGCACAUGGAAGUGUCAACUGUUACUCCCACUAAAGAGUAAUUUGAAAAGUGCCUCUAAGGUCCUUUGAUCUAGAAAUAUCCCUUUUAGGACUUCCCGAUAGAUAUGCCUUCAUUAAAGCCGAGUAACAGAUGUACAAGAGUAUUCACUGUGGUAUUGUUUUGAAUAUGGAGAAAUGAAAAUCUGUUUAAAUAUCUAUAGACACGGGACUGGUUAAGUAGUGUCCAUGGCAGCAUGCACGGGACAUGAGAUAGAGCUCUAAAACAAUGGGGCAGUGAUAGAUACUGAUGUGCAAAGCCCCCUGAGAUAGAUUCCAUGGAAAAAGCAGAACAAAUCAGUGUGUAAAACAUACUUCAGUUUGUUAAAGACACACAUGUGUGCUGUGCAUUCCUGGAAUAAGGUCCCCUCUUAGAACAGGAACUAGGCAGCAAGAACAGGGAGACUUGUUUUCAUGAGGCGUUCCUUUUGAAUUUUGUACCGUGUGCCUGAUUUGCUGAUUUAAAAAUAUAAGUGACUUUUAAAAAGUCAAAGUAGAUGUGUGAAGAACACAGGCAAAUUGAUUAGAGAUCAAGAAAAUUGUGGCUUUAGAGGUGUCAUCAUGGUUCUCUGAGGUGAGUACGGAAAUGAAACGAGUCAACACUUAAGUGGAACUGUUUUAUGUUGGGUUUUUUUGUGUGUGUGUGUGUGGGGGGGGUUUUGAAAAUCAUUCUGCAAAUUCACUUGAAAUCCACCAGAUGGCACAAGAAAAUACAGUGUGAACAAAACUGGAGUGGUUGGUGCAGGUAACAAAUCAGAGUUGGUGAGGAACCAGAUGGAGGAGAACAAAGGGUCGCUCCAGACUGCGCCCUGACACAUCCAAAUUUUGGUCUAGCCAGGGGCCUCGGGGGCAUGAUAUUGUCGCUUGGCAGACAGGUGAUGCUGGGGAAUAGUCAGGUGGUGCUGAUGAUCAUAAACAUAGAAUUAUCUGUACAUCACAGCUUCAGCAUGAAUGACUUAUUAAACGUUCAUUUUUCAAUGUAGAAUUCUCUUUUUCUUCCCCCCCUCCUUAAUCCAUACUUAAUGCCUUAUGAAAAGAGGUAUUUGUUUCUUGGUAAGCCACGUUUCUUUAAUUAAAGGAGGAGGUUUGGGAGAGGUCUACUGGAAAAGGAGAAAACUCUGGUUUCACAAUAUGCACUAUUUAUGAGGGUGCUUUGCUGUUGAAACCCAUUAGAGGCCAGCCCGGCCCAGUUUGCCUCUUGCCUUCCCAGGAGACAAUUACUGUCCUGCAUAACAAUUUGAAGCAAAUAUCGGAUGUGGUCGAAAGAACAGUUGCGGCCCUCUCUCCGGCAACCGUUUCUGCUUAGAUUUCUUAAUUGUUUCCACCACUUCCUUUCCUUGGCUUGUGGCCUUCUGGGUUCCGUAGGAUCCUGCAUUUUAAUAAAAGCCUCCCGUCCGCUCUGGAAUUCACAUGUGCAAGCAGACACCCCCUGGACCCUGGAGACGCAGCACCUUAGAGCAGAGCUUUCGGCCAAAUUCGUUCGGUGCUUGUGCACUUGUGAGUCUUAUAGAAGCCACACCUUCUUUGCCUUCUGGACCCAUGGGAAGAAGGUAUAGUGGGUCCCAGCUGCCCCUUGCCUUCCUUGUCAACACAGCUUUCCCUCCCCUCCAGGCCCAGCGUUCUGGUUUGUUCUUAGUCUGAUGAGACCAUUGCCAACUCAUCUUCCUUCCGGUCUGUUUCAGUGGUGGCCUUCUGGGAGAUUUUGCAGGGUAAAACGGGACAUCAAAGAAAGGAACUGGGCAGGAUGAUUCUUUAGUGGUGCAGUUUUUAGCACUGAAGUAUCCAGGUAGGGAGAUGUUUGGGGGAUAUCUAGGGUUACCACACUGGAUAAUCCACUUUUUUUUCCCCACUAAAAUGAGAGAGCCCAGCCCUGUUACUGCCACUGCCUCUGACUUGCAGGCAAGAUGCUGGAACAGAAGGCUUUGUGGGGCAGCCUGGACCAGGGGUCAGUGUGCAGGACCAUGAACCAGCAGGGUCUCAUCUCAGCCCUGUGACCUCAGGUUAGGAACAUACUUACUAUCCUGGGCCUUAGUGUCCUCAUCUCUGCCAUGGGGAUGACAGCAUUGGUCAAGCCCUGCUCAAAGAACUGUCAUAAAGAGGAAUAAAAUUGCUUAUUUAAGAGAAUCUCAAGAUUGUAAAUGUUCUGCAUCCAAGGGAUAUCAAAACGGCAACUAAAACCACAGGGGAACCAGCUUAUGUAUUGGGAGGCACAUUGGUCAAAAUAUUACGGCUGUGGUGGCAUGUGUGAAACAGAGAUGCUCAUGGCUUCCACUGCAUGUGAGGUGAGCAGAGCCCACGGCUGAGGCCAUGUGCUGGGCUCUGGGUGGUCGUGCUGUUCCCUCUGACCAGGCUGAAUGCAAGGGAACUCCUUCUGCCAGAGAUAAAGAGCUGCCUUUAGGGAGUUGAGACCUUUUAGUUAAAAUACCAUGCAAAAUGAUGAUAGAGGUGUUACUGCAGUGUUUCUUGUCCAAGCAUGACAAACCAAAAUACAAAACAUGCAUUUCCCUAGUUGUAUUUUUUUUUUUAGGGAGAAGGCAUGUGAACAACCAAGAGGAGCAGAGGGAGAAUUUUUGUUUAUUCUUUUUUUUAAAUUUUAUUUUAUUCAUGUUGAGAGAGAAAGGGAGAGUAGGGCAGGGGCAGAGACAGAAGGAGAGAGAGAGAAUCCCAAACAGGCCACUUACUGUCAGUGCAGAACCCCGCUCAGGGCUCGAACCUUGAGAUCAUGACCUGAAUGGAAGUCAAGAGUCGGACACUUAACCAAAGGAGCCACCCAUGAGUCCCAGGGAGGGAGAGAAUCUUAAGCAAGCUCCAUGCUCAGCACAGAGCCCUACUUGGGGCUCAAUCCCAUCCUCCUAGAAUCACGACCUAAGCCUAAAUCAAGAGUCCGUGCUCAGCUGACUGGGCCACCCAGGCGCCCCUCCCUAGUUGUAUCUUAAAUAGUUCUCAGCCUCUGCCAGUUAUGUACCCCAAUUUCUUUGUUUUUCCAAUGGGCUUAUAAAGGUAGUCAUUAGCAAGUCUGUAACUGCAUAGUCUGCAAAGUCACCAUCUAUGCAAACCAAGUUGCUGUAUUCUUCUACAGUCUGCAGCAGUAUCCUAUUUCCUUUUGUUUCAGAGACCACCCUCACCUUUAGUGAAACAUCGUAUGCCACCUUGCAUGGCUCGGUAGCAGUCUGUAGAAUACAAAGAACUUUCACAGAUAAAAUGGGUUAGCCCACACAAAGCACUCUGCAAUAUAGAUAAUUAUCUGUCUUUUACAGAUGAAGAAACAGGGCUCAAAGGGAUUUGCUAAUUUAUCCAAAGUUGUAGUUUGUAAACUCAAAGCCAAAAUUAGGACUCAGCCCUAUAUUCCAUCCCUCCAUUAACAGCACCGUAUAAGUCCCAAUGGUCCUGGAAACAUGGAGCUUCGUCAUGCUGAAUGGGAGAAAUGACACGUGGCAUCUGUCAUGCAGCAUUUAGUCACGAUUCAUUUGCUGCUCUCAGCUAGCGUUUCUAAAACGUGUUGGCGUAUGUGGCCCUAAGACUCUGGAAAAAAAAAAAGUAAAGAAUCUCCUCUGUGCAAAUACAUGUUAUCACACUUGAGAUGUCUGUUUCACCUUAUUUGACCGCGUAUUUCCCAAGCUUAUUUGGGCACAGACUUUUUUUAUAUAACAUCUAUUAAAAUCCUGCAGAAUUAGUGUGCUGUGCACAAAAUACACUUUUGGAAAAGUGUAUAAAAAUGAUUUGAGGCAAGUUGAGAAAGUCAGAGAAAGUAAUCAGAGGAGAUACAAACUAGUCAAGAAAAAGUAUGUGAGAGCAAAGGGGUCGCCUGGGGGAAGGAUAUUGCACUGGGCGUUGGUGGGCUUGGUUCUGCACUUGUGUGUACUCUGCCUUUUAUAGAUGCUCAGACAUGUCCCUACCCCAUUCUCAGCCUCAAUUUCCCCAACUCUGAAUUGAAGGGGUUUGCCUGGGAGAUCUCUAAAGUUGUUUCUCACACUAAUAGUCAUUUUUCCCCAUGAGAUUCUGGAACUUAACUCCAUGAAAGUUUUUAUUUCAAACUUUUUUCCUUGAUAUAACUUGAAGCUUACAAAAAGUUGUAAAAAUGACACAUAAGUAUUUUCCAUAUAUUCUUUUUCUAGAAUUCAUUCACUGUUCACAUUUUCCCCAUUUAUGUGAUUGUUCUCUCUCUCGUGUUCUUUUUCUGAAUCAUUUGAGGGUAAGUUGGAGACAUCAGGCCACUUUGCCCUUGCAUACUCCAGGGUUAAUUUUCUAAAAAUUAAGACAUUCUCUUAUAUAUGCACAGUAUACUUAUCAAAAUCAGGUACUUAGACUGAUACAAUACUAUUAGGUAAGUCACAGUCAGUAAUCAUAUUUCAUCAAUUUUCCCAAUAAGAUCUUCAUAGCUCUUCUUUUCCCCCUGAUCUCUGCCACCUUCUUCUAGUGGGCAAGGUUAGGUCUAUCUUGAAAUCAUGCAUCCACCUAAAAAAAUGAAAUGAAUGGAUCAUUCUAUUUCCCAUUUCCUCUUGCUUUAGCACUGGGUAAAGUGGUGGAAGAGACAGAGUAGAAUUAUUUGAAAAGUGAUCAGAAAUAAACUUUGGACUUAUAUUGACCUGCACAAGAACAAAUGCCCCAGCGUUGAUUCUGUCUUUGCUGAAAACCAUUGGCAAUUACAAUGAUAAAACAAUGUUUGAUUCAUGAUAAAACAUCAUCACUUUCUGAAAAAAAAAAUGGUCAUUCAUUCUUUUAAUAAAGGAAUUAUUUUCACUGUGGAUACAUAUUUCCUGAGUUUGCAAAUCCUUUUGAAUUACAUCCGGCAGCAUGAAGGCAUGGUGAGACACCCAGUUGGCUAGAGACGGUUUACGUAGGAAAAGAGUGGGAAUCGUGCUGACAAAGCUAGGUUUGGUCCGAGCCUUGAAUACUUAAAUACUUCAUGUAGGAUUUUAUUUUAUUUGUUUUCCCUAGAGAGAAAGAUUUCAUCAUAAUCUUCCAGCACUGUAGGGCAGUGGAAAGAGCACAGACUUUGAAGUCCUAGGGAUCAAAUCUUAGUUUAGUGACUUAUUAGCUGAGUAUGCCCUUUGACCUCUCUGGACCUCAUUUAUAAAAUACAGAUGUUAAUAAUGCAGACUCACAGGUGGUAUUCAAUGUACUCAUGUAUACAGCAUUGGUUUUCCCUCUCCCCACCGCUGCCUCUUUCAUACUCUCAUAUCUUCAAAUACUCUCCUGUAUUGAAUGCUAAAAGUCUAAUAUCAACUCAGGGUUUGAUGUUUACCUGAGACCUAUAACUUGGGGUGGGGGGGUAGUUUGGGAAUAAGAAUAUCAUGAUGCUGUAAAAUACCUCGAUAGUGGUAGUUUUGACAUUUCAGCCUGGAGUUUUAUUGAUUUUUUCCCUCUUAUGUGUAUUUGGUUGCCAUCCACUUUACUCUUUUCCCCAGAUUUCUUCAGUCUGAUUGGAAACCUUAAACAUGACAAUAUGGUUUUACAAUAAAGGGUCCAACUGCAGGUGCUGAGGAAAUGAAGCCAAGGGUCUCUCCCUCCUUUCUUGAGGAGAAAGGCUGGGUCAGGUGCUGGGAGAAAGCUGGUUGGAAAACAUGUAGUUUGGAAACCUUUCUUUUCUUGCUCCAUCUUUUGGAGAAAUUUUUAUUCUCCUUGGAGACCCAUUUGGGAAGAAUUUUGGCUAAAUCAUGUGUCUGUGGGAGACCAUUCUUAUCUGGACCCGGAGCUGAGACUGGAGGCCAAAGGGAAGCACCAUUUCAGGAGCAGUCAAGUGCAUUGUGUCUUUGGCUCUGGAAAAUUAAUUCCAAAAGGCAUGUGUAGCCACUAUUCUCAUCUGUCUUUUAAAAAGCAAAUAGUGGACACAUAGCCAGCAGUAGCCAACAAAUGCCAAAAAUAUCCAAGUCCAUCAUCCCUAGGCACAAGUUAGUUGCUAUAGAGAAAAGCCAACAACUCUUAAACCUUCUUUUUUUUUUUUUUUUUUUUUUUUUGCUACAGGUGGGUGGUAAAAUAAUAAAGAGAGGGGGGUUAGGAACACGAUGAAACAAAAAUGAUAAAUGGAAACCAUUUUCUUUUAAGGGCCUCUCAAAAGAAGCAGUGUUUCUCCAGAGCCACCCCCUGCCCCCAACCGGUAUGGACUUGCUCGACAAUGACUGGCAUUUCCGUUCUCAGAGUGAAGAUGUUACACACUCCUCUGGCUUAAGAGCAUUUGGGCUCUCAACCUCUCCCCUGUCUGCUCACAAAGCUUCAAUAAAAUCCACAUUCCUUGCCAAUGCUUAAUGGAAUAGAUUUGCUGUUUGGGACUAAACCUACCCUGAGUUAGACCUCGAAGUCUCUACAAGACAGUAACAGUGUCUGCCCAUGAGAGGACAGCCAUACAGAGUUUGCAUAUAUAGUAAGUAAAUAUGUAUUAAAUUAAUGUGUUUGUCUUGUCUUCCUAAGAAGAUAUAAUACUCCCCUUUACCUCUAGAUGAUUCGUAGGGAAAUUAUUCAAUGAUAACUUGCUGAUUAAAAGGAAUGGGCUGUAAUUCUAGUGUCUCUUUAACGGAGAAAGGAAAGAAAGUUUCAUAAGCACCUGCUGGGUAUCCUCUUUGUAGCAAAUGUUCACAUUUAAUCUCAUUUAAUCCUUGCAAUCUUGUGAAGCAAAUACUUUUAGUAUUAUUCUAAUGACAAUUACCUUCCUUUUCUAGGUAAGAAAACUAAGGCUCAGUGAACUUAAGUAAUUGCUCAGGUGUGUAUCACUAGGAAGUGACAGAUAAUGGGCCUCUAACCCUGUUUGACACCAAGGGCUUCUUUGAACUAGUCCACGAGCUUCAGUAGGGGGAGGGGGGUCGGGGGAGGGAAGAGACUGCACGGUAUAAAGACAAGCUCCUUGAUGCUAUUAUAUCAUUCAUUUGCCUAUUGUAUAUUAAUUAUGUAGCAAUGAUUGGUGAGUCCUGAGUUUCCUGGAUUUAAUUUUUUUGUAUCUUAUUAUGAAUGAAUUAUAGUUGUGAAAUAUAUCUUUUAAUUUGAAGGACCACCCCCAAAAUCCUCUAUAGUUUGUAUGCCAUGGUAGGUUAAUGGCUUAGCUUUUCUUUGCUACCACAAAGAUAGAAUCUUUUACCCAUUUCUGAUUAUUUCAUUUCUGUAAGUAGAGAGUUGGGGAUGAAACUGGUGUCCAGUUUCUUUCACAAUGAUCUGUCUUUAGAUUUACUGCCCACCUCAAAAAGUUAAAGCCUGCAAUAAUUGUGCAUAUUGAAUAUGUCAUGCCACUGGGUAGCAAAUUAUCGAGCUAUUUUUUGACAAUGCCCUCUUGAAAUAGCAACAUGAAAAACUGAAUUUUUAUUUAAACUUCAAUGACGACAAUAGCUUACUUCUUGUAAGAUGGAGUAUUGGUUAGCAAAUUACAAGCAUGUGAAAUUGGUCACAGGAGAAAGUCACUGUCUAUUGGCAACCAUCCAAGAAUGCAACCACAAGUCACGGCUGUCAUAAGACCAAGCUGCUAUUAUGAUUCCUUAGUGAUAUCUAGUCCAGUAAAAAUGCCAUUUUCAGAAGUCAAUUACCAACAAAGCAGUGGUGGAUUUUGUGGUUGGUUUAUUUGGAAAUUGUUCUUGGGGGUCUUGAGAAAAGAAUCUAACUUCUUCUUCAGCAAUUAGUGUGUUACUACUGAUUCAGGUCACAUUUAGUUUUCUUUUUAAUGUAUAAUGUAUUGGAAUAUGUAUGAAUACCUGUGUUGGCUGAAGACAAAAAAGGUACCUCUCAAGAUAAAUUGGCUAAGAAAAGCAAGUCAAAUCACUUUGUGCAGAUCUGUCUUGUGUAGGUGAAGAUGUUUGUGUUCCUGAGUUUGACCCACCUAUGUUUGCUUAGUUACUGUUUAACAGCUCGCGUCCAGGCCUACACGUGAGCACAGACUCAUCUCUACUGUCGUGCAGACCUCCCUCAGCUUUGCUCAAGUGGUUUAUCAAUCUCAUUUAACAGACACCUAUUACAUGCUGAGCACUGCUUGGGUAAAAUUUGAAUGCAGUAUUGUUUCAAGAAUCUAAGGUUUAGAGACAGUUUUCUUGUAGCUAAAAAUGGAAGGCCUUCUCUUUUCAGUCACAGCCACACUUAGACUUGGGGAUCAGUCACCUUCAGGCAGGCAGGGGUUCUCAUUAGAUCUCUGCCUUCCAGAAGUCAGUGUGAGCCCCUUCAGCCACAGGCUUCUCAAGGUUUGUGCACAUUUCCCAGGGCUUCAAUUCCAUCCUCGUUUCUGGCUCCAACUUUCUCUCUGAAUCCCACUUAAGCUUCUUCCAUGUUUCCAGUGUACAUUAACUACCAGAUAGGUGGUGAUUGACUGAUAUGUUGAGGGUAAAAGUAGUACAUUCUAGGCGUGCCACGGUGGCUCAGUUAGUUGAACGUCUGAAUCCUGACUUUGGUUCAAAUAAUUAUCUGUGGUCAUGGGAUUGAGCCCUGCACUGGGUGUGGAGCUUGCUUAAGA